UUGCUCUCACGCGUUCACAGCGUAUCAAAGGACGGCUGUGAAGAAAUUGUGAAAGACUUUCGUCAUCUUUUCACUGGAACUGGCUGCGUGAAAAAAGUAUAUCACAUCGUGCUUCAAGACAACACUGUGCCAGUCAUUCAACCAGUGCGACGUGUACCAUUGGCCCUGACGGAACCACUACGGGACGAACUCGACAGGAUGGAGCACGCCGGAAUCAUCACGAGGGUCACCGAGCCUACCGACUGUGUAAGCAGCUCCUCCUGGCUGACAUGUUGUCACGUGCCACAACGAAGACAACGGCCUGCGACCUCGACAGCAACGAUGUAGAAGUACAUGCCGACCACCCCGCUCGGGUGCGGCGCAUCGCCCGCUGAGCUGCUGAUGGGGCGACGGCUCCGCACAACUAUUCCUGACGUUCAAGGCAACACCAGGCACGAGGUGCUCCGGCGUCCUCAGACAGACCACUCUAGGAGACCAUUGGCGCACCUGAGCCCGGGAGAUACGGUCCGGAUAAAGAAAGGAACAUGGGCGACGAAAGCUAAAGUGCUCAAGU
Molecule: long non-coding RNA, 553 nt
Organism: Rhipicephalus sanguineus (brown dog tick)
Lineage: Eukaryota; Metazoa; Arthropoda; Arachnida; Ixodida; Ixodidae
Exons: 3
Source: RefSeq, a predicted model, not a curated record